CCUACGGGGGGCUGCAGUGGGGAAUAUUGGACAAUGGGCGAAAGCCUGAUCCAGCCAUGCCGCGUGUGUGAAGAAGGCCUUCGGGUUGUAAAGCACUUUCAGUGGGGAAGAAAGCCUUGGGGCUAAUACCCUCGAGGAAGGACAUCACCCACAGAAGAAGCACCGGCUAACUCCGUACCAGCAGCCGCGGUAAUACGGAGGGUGCGAGCGUUAAUCGGAAUUACUGGGCGUAAAGCGCGCGUAGGCGGUCUGAUAAGCCGGUUGUGAAAGCCCCGGGCUCAACCUGGGAACGGCAUCCGGAACUGUCAGGCUAGAGUGCAGGAGAGGAAGGUAGAAUUCCCGGUGUAGCGGUGAAAUGCGUAGAGAUCGGGAGGAAUACCAGUGGCGAAGGCGGCCUUCUGGACUGACACUGACGCUGAGGUGCGAAAGCGUGGGUAGCAAACAGGAUUAGAUACCCGAGUGUC
This 464-nucleotide ribosomal RNA is filed under the name Vreelandella stevensii. RNAcentral's name for it is "partial 16S ribosomal RNA". It matches the Rfam family "Bacterial small subunit ribosomal RNA", at positions 338 to 795 of the family's 1533-position model. Lineage: Bacteria; Pseudomonadati; Pseudomonadota; Gammaproteobacteria; Oceanospirillales; Halomonadaceae. The record is from RNAcentral.